This 334-nucleotide unclassified non-coding RNA is filed under the name soil metagenome. RNAcentral's name for it is "partial contains 5.8S ribosomal RNA, internal transcribed spacer 2, and large subunit ribosomal RNA". The stretch from base 4 to 118 matches the Rfam family "5.8S ribosomal RNA", at positions 40 to 154 of the family's 154-position model. The record is from RNAcentral.
GAUGGAACGUAGCGAAAUGCGAUAAGUAAUGUGAAUUGCAGAAUUCAGUGAAUCAUCGAAUCUUUGAACGCACAUUGCGCCCGCCAGUAUUCUGGCGGGCAUGCCUGUUCGAGCGUCAUUUCAACCAUCAAGCCCCAGGCUUGUGUUGGGGACCUGCGGCUGCCGCAGGCCCUGAAAACCAGUGGCGGGCUCGCUGUCACACCGGGCGUAGUAGAUUUUAUCUCGCUCAGGGCGUGCUGCGGGUUCCGGCCGUUAAAAAGCCUUUUUUACCCAAGGUUGACCUCGGAUCAGGUAGGAAGACCCGCUGAACUUAAGCAUAUCAAUAAGCGGAGGA